RNAcentral lists this ribosomal RNA (3096 nucleotides) under Triticum aestivum (bread wheat). Its description in RNAcentral is "partial small subunit ribosomal RNA". The record is from RNAcentral. Lineage: Eukaryota; Viridiplantae; Streptophyta; Magnoliopsida; Poales; Poaceae.
AUGCCGAGAACCUAUCCUCCCCUCCCCCUUUUGCUCCUCGCCGUCCUCCUGCUGGCCGGCGAGUCGAGCUCGCAGCCCACCUCCGGUGACCGGGCCGCGCUCCUGGCAAUCAAGAAGGACUGGGGUAACCCCGCGCAGCUCGCGUCGUGGGACCCCGCCGCCCACGCCAACCACUGCAACUGGACCGGCGUCGCCUGCGAGGGCGCCGGCGCCGGGCGCGUGGUCACGGGGGUAUCCUUGCCGGGGCUGAACAUUAGCGGCAACGUGCCGGCGUCCGUGUGCGACCUGGCGAACCUGACCCGCCUCGACCUCUCCAACAACAACCUCACCGGCGGCUUCCCCGCGCUGUACCGCUGCUCCCAGCUCCAGUUCCUCGACCUCUCCAACAACGGAUUCGACGGGGUCCUCCCGGAUGACAUCGGCCGGCUGUCGCGGGCGAUGGAGCGCCUCAACCUGUCGGCUAACCACUUCUCCGGCGCCGUGCCAGCGGCGGUAGCGGGGCUAACGGCGCUGAAGUCGCUGAUUCUUGACACGAACCAGUUCACCGGGGCGUAUCCGGCGGCCGAGAUAAGCAAGCUCGCCGGCCUUGAGGAGCUGACGCUUGCCUCGAACCCUUUCGCGCCGGCGCCGGCGCCGCGCGAGUUCGCCAAUCUAACCAACCUGAGCUACCUCUGGAUGUCCGGCAUGAACAUGACCGGCGAGAUCCCGAAGAAUUACUCGAGCCUAGUGAAGCUCCAGAUACUCGCUAUGACGGCGAACAACCUCACCGGCGAGAUCCCGGCUUGGGUCUGGCAGCACCCAAAGCUCGAGAAGUUGUACCUGUUCACCAACGGACUCACCGGCGAGCUUCCGCGCAAUAUCUCGGCGGUGAAUUUAAUAGAGAUUGAUGUAUCGGUGAACAAGCUCGCCGGAGAAAUACCGGAAGACAUUGGUAACCUCAAGAACCUCAGCAUAUUGUUCAUGUACACCAAUCAGCUCACCGGCACCAUUCCGGCAAGCAUAGCGACGCUGCCCAAACUCAGGGACAUCCGGCUAUUUGAAAACAAGCUCUCCGGCGAGCUCCCGCGGGAGCUCGGGAAGCACUCGCCGCUCGUCAACCUCGAGGUCUGCAACAACCAGCUCUCUGGCCCGCUCCCGGAGUCACUAUGCGCCAACGGGAAGCUCGACGACAUCGUCGUCUUCAACAACAGCUUCUACGGCGAGCUCCCGAAGAACCUCGGCGACUGCGUCCUGCUGAACAACAUCAUGCUCUACAACAACCGCUUCUCCGGCGAGUUCCCGGAGAAGAUAUGGUCAUUUCCGAAGUUGACCACUCUGAUGAUACACAACAACGGUUUCACCGGGGCUCUACCGGCCGUGCUAUCUGAUAACAUCUCGCGGAUUGAGAUGGGGAACAACAGAUUCUCUGGCUCCUUCCCCACGUCGGCAACCGGGCUGGGUGUGUUCAAGGCGGAGAACAACCAGCUCUCCGGCAAGCUACCGGACAGCAUGAGCAAGUUUGCCAACCUUACUGAUCUGUUGAUGUCAGGCAACCAGCUAACUGGUUCCAUACCAACAUCAGUCAACGUGUUGCAGAAGCUCAAUUCUCUCAACUUGAGCGGCAACCGGAUGUCUGGCACCAUUCCACCUUCCAGUAUCGGGUUGCUUCCAUCGCUGACGAUCCUUGAUUUGUCCGGCAAUGAAAUCACCGGUGUCAUACCGCCCGACUUCAACAACCUGAAACUCAACAACCUCAACAUGUCGUCAAACCAGCUCACCGGCGUGGUGCCGCUCUCGCUGCAGAGCGCGGCAUACGAGACCAGCUUCCUCGGCAACCACGGGCUCUGUGCUAGGAAAGGCUCGGGAGUAGACCUCCCGAAAUGCGGCAGUGCCCGUGACGAGCUCUCGAGGGGCUUGAUCGUCCUCUUCUCCAUGCUCGCCGGCAUUGUUCUCGUCGGAAGCGUGGGCAUCGCAUGCCUGCUCUUCCGGCGGCGGAAGGAGCAGCAGGAGGUGACCGACUGGAAGAUGACGCAGUUCACCCAACUGGGCUUCACCGAGUCCGAUGUGCUCAACAACAUCCGUGAGGAAAACGUGAUCGGCAGCGGCGGGUCCGGGAAGGUGUACCGCAUCCACCUGCCUGCCCGUGCCGGCGGCGGCGGCGACGAGGAGCACGGCGGAGGCGGCAGGAUGGUGGCCGUGAAGAAGAUAUGGAACGCAAGGAAGCUGGAAGCGAAGUUCGACAAGGAGUUCGAGUCGGAGGUGAAGGUGCUGGGCAACAUCCGGCACAACAACAUCGUGAGGCUGCUCUGCUGCAUCUCCAGCCAUGACGUGAAGCUGCUGGUCUACGAGUACAUGGAGAACGGCAGCCUCGACCGGUGGCUGCACCACCUUGACCGCCAGGGCGCGCCGGCGCCGCUGGACUGGCCGACGAGGCUGGCCAUCGCCAUCGACUCGGCCAAGGGGCUCAGCUACAUGCACCACGACUCCGCGCAGUCGAUCGUGCACCGGGACGUCAAGUCCAGCAACAUCUUGCUGGAUCCGGAGUUCCGUGCCAAGAUCGCCGACUUUGGGCUCGCCCGGAUGCUUGUCAAGUCCGGCGAGCUAGAGUCCGUGUCAGCCAUCGGCGGCACGUUUGGGUACAUGGCCCCAGAGUAUGCUUCCAGGCUGAAGGUGAACGAGAAGGUCGACGUUUACAGCUUCGGUGUGGUUCUGCUGGAGCUGAUCACCGGCAAGGUCGCGAACGACGGCGGCGCCGACUUCUGCCUGGCGGAGUGGGCGUGGCGGCGGUACCAGAAAGGCCCUCCGUUCAGCGACGUGGUCGACGAGCACAUCCGUGACCCGGCCAACAUGGCGGACAUCCUGGCCGUGUUCACCCUCGGCGUGAUCUGCACGGGGGAGAACCCUCCGGCGCGGCCGUCCAUGAAGGAGGUCCUGCAGCACCUCAUCCGGUGCGACAAGAUGUCUGCUCAGGCAGAGGCGUGCCAGCUGGACUACGUCGACGGCGGCGCGCCGCUGCUCGAGGCGAAGAAAGGCAGCCGGAGGAGGGACGUGUCGGACUCCGGCAGGUGGGACGACGACGAGGAGGACAGCGGCAACUUCGUGGUGCACGCGGUCUAG